UACGUAGGCAGCAAGCGUUGUUCGGAUUUACUGGGCGUAAAGGGUGCGUAGGCGGUCGGGUAAGUCUGACGUGAAAUCUCCAAGCCUAACUUGGAAACUGCGUUGGAUACUCUCCGGCUAGAGGAAUGGAGGGGAGACUGGAAUACUUGGUGUAGCAGUGAAAUGCGUAGAGAUCGGGAGGAACAUCUGUGGCGAAGGCGGCCACCUGGACCAGCACUGACACUGAGGCACGAAAGCGUGGGGAGCAAACAGG
RNAcentral lists this ribosomal RNA (253 nucleotides) under uncultured bacterium. RNAcentral describes it as "partial 16S ribosomal RNA". It matches the Rfam family "Bacterial small subunit ribosomal RNA", at positions 524 to 776 of the family's 1533-position model. The record is from RNAcentral.